This 98-nucleotide non-coding RNA is filed under the name Candidatus Glomeribacter gigasporarum BEG34. Lineage: Bacteria; Pseudomonadati; Pseudomonadota; Betaproteobacteria; Burkholderiales; Burkholderiaceae. The record is from RNAcentral.
UUCAAUGGCGGACCGGAUGGGAGGAGCUAAUGCGCAAGCAAAAGCUCACCGGUUCCUAGAGACCGGCCUUUGAACUCCUGUUUUGGUCUGCCACCUUU